RNAcentral lists this ribosomal RNA (253 nucleotides) under uncultured bacterium. RNAcentral describes it as "partial 16S ribosomal RNA". It matches the Rfam family "Bacterial small subunit ribosomal RNA", at positions 524 to 776 of the family's 1533-position model. The record is from RNAcentral.
UACGGAGGGAGCUAGCGUUGUUCGGAAUUACUGGGCGUAAAGCGCGCGUAGGCGGCUUUGUAAGUUAGAGGUGAAAGCCCGGGGCUCAACCCCGGAACUGCCUUUAAGACUGCAUCGCUUGAAUCCAGGAGAGGUGAGUGGAAUUCCGAGUGUAGAGGUGAAAUGCGUAGAUAUACGGAGGAACACCAGCGGCGAAGGCGGGUAGCUGGGCCAACACUGACGCUGAUGCGCGAAAGCUAGGGUAGCAAACGGG